RNAcentral lists this ribosomal RNA (456 nucleotides) under uncultured bacterium. RNAcentral describes it as "bacterial SSU rRNA". It matches the Rfam family "Bacterial small subunit ribosomal RNA", at positions 28 to 524 of the family's 1533-position model. The record is from RNAcentral.
GAUAAACGCUGGCGGCGUGCCUAACACAUGCAAGUCGAACGAUCCCGCAAGGGAGAGUGGCGGAAGGGUGAGUAACACGUGGGAAUCUACCUCCUCGCAGGGGAACAACCUCUCGAAAGAGAGGCUAAUACCCAAAAGGGUCAGAAAUGAUCAGAGUCGAAAGGCGUGAGGAGAGGAGCCCGCGGCCCAUCAGCUAGUUGGUGAGGUAAUGGCUUACAAGGCUACGACGGGUAGGGAUCUGAGAGGAUGUCCCCCACACUGGAACUGAAACACGGUCCAGACGCCUACGGGUGGCAGCAGUGAGGAAUAUUGGACAAUGGGCGAAAGCCCGAUCCAGCAACGCCGCGUGGAGGAUGAAGGCCUUCGGGUCGUAAACUUCUUUAGAGGGAGACGAGAAAGGACGGUAUCCCUAAGAAUAAGACGACGGCAAACUACGUAGCCAGCAGCCGCGGUAAU